Lates calcarifer (barramundi perch) is the source of this 977-nucleotide long non-coding RNA. RefSeq lists it as uncharacterized. The record is from RefSeq and is a predicted model, not a curated record. The transcript is spliced from 7 exons. NCBI's taxonomy places the organism in Eukaryota, Metazoa, Chordata, Actinopteri, Centropomidae.
GAAAAAUAAUAAAAGUCAGUCAUUUAAAGUGUAAAGCCUGCAGAGCAUGUCCAACACAGAGAAUCCAGUUUGCUGUGACCCCACUGACUCUGUUGGAGAUAAGGAGAAAUGGGGACAUCUGCUGGUGAGAGGAAGGUCCAGGGAACCCUGGGACUCCUGGCUGUCCUGUGAGACCUGGGAAACCCCGUUCACCCUGCACACGAUGACACAGAUACAGAAGCUGUCACUGCAAUGGUCAUGUGUGGUGGAACACAUAGUCUCCCACUUUUUCCAUCAGCCUUGCAAUCAGGCCUGAGGGGAGGCACAGCCGGGCUCGUUCUCUGAAGGUUGCCAGCCCGAGCCGACAAGCCCCGGCCGGCCCGCUGAGCGCCGCUGGAGGUCUGUAUAGGACAGAGAGUGGCGCUCCAGGCUGCGAGCCGCGGCGUCAAACCGCUGAUCCCUUUCAUCGCCGCUGGACUUUGACUGCUUCAAGGGGAGUGUUGGGGAUUCCUCAAACUCCAACAUCCAGAUGGGACUUUAUCUAAACAGGCUCAGAGUGGAAGAGGCGAUCCAGCAUGUCUGAAGAGCAAUGAAAACUGACUCCUCCUUUGACAAAUUGCUGCAGGGAAGGUGAAGGUCCACAACUUGGCCACAUGAGGGUGCUAACAAGACUGGAAACCAUGCAGGUAAGUUAUGAAAAGCACAGGUCUGUAUCUGCAGCCCCAGCAUGGAUUUAUACUAAUGAGUCAAAAGCUGCUUUGGUCCAGCUUGACCUAAACUAUAAGUAAGUUUAGUCCGAUUUAAUCAUGAUGGUGACUUUAGCUAGUUUUCUUAUUUAUUGUGUCACGUGGACACCAGAAAUACUGAACAGAACAAAAGGUCCUUUAAAAACUUAGUGUUAUCUGGUGAAAUGCAAAGGUCAAAGCUGCAGAAUCAGUUCAGUUCAUGACGCCUUCUGACGAAGUGGUUACAUUUGCAUCUUAGUUGCUGACUGUGUU